Molecule: long non-coding RNA, 1691 nt
Filed under: Homo sapiens (human)
Lineage: Eukaryota; Metazoa; Chordata; Mammalia; Primates; Hominidae
Description: surfactant associated 3, transcript variant 9 (SFTA3)
Source: RNAcentral
GCGAGGGGGUCAGGGACUGGGCCAAGCUCAGAAGCGGGGAGAAGAGCGAGACAGAGAUGCUCUGAGCAGGGGAGACAGGGAUCCCGGGCUGCUGCCGCUACCAACAAGGGUACACACUGCGGUCCUCAAGGCCAGGAGGGGGGUGGGGGCAGGGAAUGCCUCAGCCAACAGGGCAGCGGCUCGGCCCUGCUGCUGGCCCGGUGGGAAGUAGCCUGGGGCCCCGCGACUGAAAUCCGAGCCAGGCCUGGGCAGUCUCCGCUAGAAACGCUCUGGGCGCGCACUCCUGGAGACGCGGAGGCCCGGGCGCUCCAGACCAGUGUCCUUGUAGGAGGCUUCUUCACGAAGCUUAGAGUUUGGCCUUUCAUAGGGAAAGACUUGCUCGGGAGCAAGUCUAAGGGAUUUUAAGGGAUUUUAAAUCUUCCUGGGCCAGGGCUAGGGAGCUCUAGUGACAGUGUCUUGGUCUGGAAUCCAACUCUCCAAUUUUGAGGCCGCAGGGAGGAAUUCUGAGACUUUAGAGGCCGCACAGCCUUCAGCGCGCUCACCGCGUCCAGGCGUCAGUGAGGGGCUAUCUCGAGGCGCGAGUGCACAAAAGGUAGCGCGAGUCUCUUCUCAGGCGAUCCAGAUAAGAGGAAAUGAGAGCCGGGUUUUCUGACUUCCAACUCAUUAGGGACCAGGUUCUUUUUCUUCAGGAUCAGGCACAGAGACUGACUGAAUGGCUCCAAUUAUCAGGAUUUGAAAACCCAGUAUCAGAAUCUACCACUUUGUGCCUGAGGGAGAGGGAAAAGCGGAUACCCACCUGUGUCGCUGUUUGCGUGCCAAGUCCAGGAACAGUCCAUACAGCCCUGCUGCAUCCCACGACGCUGUCACAAAGCAGGAGUUCAUCCGAGGCCAAGAUGGAGAAACUGAGGCCCAGAAAUUGAUGUCCAGAAUGCUUUGCUCUUAGCCACUGUACUAUUAUGGCAUAUUUUAUCUUUAUGUAUUGCAUCAUUUCAUGGAUUCAAGUUUAUCAAUGUCCUUUGACAAGUUUAAAAAUCUGUCUGCUAAAAUCUAUCCAAUACAUUAAGGAAAAGUCCCACUUGGCACAUCUCCCACACCAGAUGUUAAUUAUUCAUACUGCAUGACUGAGGAUUUUGGAGGCAGAGAGAGAUUCAUCUGCAAUAUUUGGAACACCAAUGGAGGUCUACGUCAACACAGAAUUUAUACAGCAGCUGGUGCUAGUCAGAGCUAAUGACAGAAUUUCAGUUUAAUAAAAAGACCCCCAACUGAGCACACCAUCUUGAAAAAAGUAUACUUAUCAAACAGCUUUCAAUCAGUUCAAGAGAGACACCUUAAUUGGGGAGAGGAAGAAUUGCAGAGUAGUUUGUAAUCAUGCCAAUUCCAGAUCAAUAACUGCAUGUCUGUUCUUUGGUAGAAAUAGCUUUUGCUUUAUAUUAAGUAAUCACAUAUAUAUUCUCUCUAUUUGGAUAAGGAAACCUUCGCUUUAUUUGACAAUGUAUAAUGAUAUACUCUUCUAAUUCACCUCUGUGUCUUCACAAUAAACAUGAGUAAAAUUUAGACAAGUGAUGGUAAAGGUCAAUAUAAUUAUUUAUUUUUAAAAUAAAUUUUGUAUCUAACAGGAAAGCAGUUCUUAUGAAAUUUUUAUAUUUUCAAAAAUUGUUUUGUUCAAAUAAAAUUUUAUGAGUAAAGUUAAA